Molecule: ribosomal RNA, 483 nt
Filed under: uncultured bacterium
Lineage: Bacteria
Description: partial 16S ribosomal RNA
Rfam family: Bacterial small subunit ribosomal RNA
Source: RNAcentral
AGUGAACGCUGGCGGCAGGCCUAACACAUGCAAGUCGAGCGGCAGCGCGGGGGCAACCCUGGCGGAGAGCGGCGGACGGGUGAGGAAUUCGUCGGAAUCUGCCUUUUUGUGGGGGAUAACGUGGGGAAACUGACGCUAAUACCGCAUACGUCCUACGGGCGUAAGGGGGGGACCGCAAGACCUCACGCAGAAAGAUGAGCCGACGACCGAUUAGCUAGUUGGUGGGGUAAAGGCCCACCAAGGCGACGAUCGGUAGCUGGUCUGAGAGGAUGAUCAGCCAAACUGGAACUGGGAAACGGCCCAGCUUCCAACGGGAGGCAGAGGGGGGGAAUUUUGGCCAAUGGGGGCAAGCUGGUCCCAGCAAUGCCGGGUGGGUGAAGAAGGCCUUCGGGUGGUAAACCCUUUUUGUCCGGAAAGAAAGCACCGGGGUUAAACCCCGCGGGUGAGGACGGUACCGAAGAAUAAGCACCGGCUAACUUCGUG